RNAcentral lists this ribosomal RNA (467 nucleotides) under uncultured bacterium. Its description in RNAcentral is "partial 16S ribosomal RNA". It matches the Rfam family "Bacterial small subunit ribosomal RNA", at positions 29 to 507 of the family's 1533-position model. The record is from RNAcentral.
ACGCACACUGGCGGCGUGCUUAACACAUGCAAGUCGAACGGAAAGGCCCUGCUUUUGUGGGGUGCUCGAGUGGCGAACGGGUGAGUAACACGUGAGUAACCUGCCCUUGACUUUGGGAUAACUUCAGGAAACUGGGGCUAAUACCGGAUAGGAGCUCCUGCUGCAUGGUGGGGGUUGGAAAGUUUCGGCGGUUGGGGAUGGACUCGCGGCUUAUCAGCUUGUUGGUGGGGUAGUGGCUUACCAAGGCUUUGACGGGUAGCCGGCCUGAGAGGGUGACCGGCCACAUUGGGACUGAGAUACGGCCCAGACUCCUACGGGAGGCAGCAGUGGGGAAUAUUGCACAAUGGGCGGAAGCCUGAUGCAGCAACGCCGCGUGCGGGAUGACGGCCUUCGGGUUGUAAACCGCUUUCGCCUGUGACGAAGCGUGAGUGACGGUAAUGGGUAAAGAAGCACCGGCUAACUACGUG